This is a long non-coding RNA of Bactrocera latifrons, 566 nucleotides long. RefSeq lists it as uncharacterized. The transcript is spliced from 5 exons. The record is from RefSeq and is a predicted model, not a curated record. Lineage: Eukaryota; Metazoa; Arthropoda; Insecta; Diptera; Tephritidae.
GACCCUUCACCGCUGUCGGUGAGCGUUCGCUGCAAUACACAUCCAAGCAUAUGAGUGUUUUUCAUCGAAGAUGAACUGAACAAAAGAGCAGUAAAGAUAUUCGUUUUCUGGACAUUUUUCGCCGAUAGGUUGAGGCGAAUGAGUCCUGUCGCUGUUGCUGCUUUUCUAUUGUGUCCUCGGCUGCCGAACUCGUACAAAAUAAGUAAAUUUUCUGGCAAAUAUACUGAAAGAGUUAUAAAAAAAAUAAAUACAGUAAUGAAAAUACCAUGUAUAAAUGUUUGCAAUUAAAUACGAAAAAUCUACAUAAUCCAAAGCUUUGUUUAAGGGUAUUUAUAUAAGGACAACGUUAUACUAGCAAAAACGCUGGGGAAGAACAAAAGGUGGUUUUUGGAAAUAUUUCUCUACGUUCAUACUUUUUCAGGAAAUAUUGGAACAUUUUCUGAUAUGUAAAGCUCUUAUAUACACUAAACUAACAAUGGAAUGGAUAAUGGAAAAAGUUGUAUUGGUGUUUUUUAUUACUAGCUCAAAUAUGGACGAGAAAGAUCGCAAAGUACUUUCAGAAAUAC